UACGGGGGAUGCAAGCGUUAUCCGGAAUCAUUGGGCGUAAAGCGCCUGUAGGUUGUUUAAUAAGUCUGUUGAUAAAGACUAGGGCUUAACCCUAGGAAAGCAAUGGAAACUACUAGACUAGAGUAUGAUAGGGGUAGAGGGAAUUUCUAGUGUAGCGGUGAAAUGCGUAGAUAUUAGAAAGAACACCGGUGGCGAAGGCGCUCUACUGGAUCAUUACUGACACUCAGAGGCGAAAGCUAGGGUAGCAAAAGGGAUUAGAUACCCCUGUAGUCCUAGCCGUAAACGAUGGAUACUACAUGUUGCGUUUUAUAUGCAGUAUGGUAGCUAACGCGUUAAGUAUCCCGCCUGGGGAGUACGACCGCAAGGUUA
RNAcentral lists this ribosomal RNA (369 nucleotides) under uncultured phototrophic eukaryote. RNAcentral describes it as "SSU rRNA". It matches the Rfam family "Bacterial small subunit ribosomal RNA", at positions 524 to 896 of the family's 1533-position model. The record is from RNAcentral.